Molecule: ribosomal RNA, 231 nt
Filed under: uncultured bacterium
Lineage: Bacteria
Description: partial 16S ribosomal RNA
Rfam family: Bacterial small subunit ribosomal RNA
Source: RNAcentral
UGAGCAAUCUGCCCUUCACAUCGGAAUAACCAUUGGAAACGAUGGCUAAUACCGAAUAUGACUUCGGAUCGCAUGAUCUGAAGUGGAAAGCUCCGGCGGUGAAGGAUGAGCUCGCGGCCUAUCAGCUUGUUGGUGUGGGUAAUGGCCCACCAGGCGACGACGGGUAGCCGGCCUGAGAGGGUGACCGGCCACACGUGGGACUGAGACGACGGCCCAGAUCCCGUAACGGGG